Molecule: long non-coding RNA, 1399 nt
Filed under: Mytilus galloprovincialis (Mediterranean mussel)
Lineage: Eukaryota; Metazoa; Mollusca; Bivalvia; Mytilida; Mytilidae
Source: RNAcentral
CAGGAACACAACAAUUUAGUAUAAAUACUCUGUAUCACCUUGUAUUCUGUGCGGAAAUAAUUUGGUUAAGCAUUCUGUCUAGAAUAAGCGACAAGCGCAAUCCGAGGAUGUUUUUUUCAAUGGUCUUCUUUUGUGUAGCUGCUACAUGUAAGAAAUUAUUAUAUUUUUUCAUCAUUUUCCAAGAAAUUAUUAUGUAUGUAAAUAUUUGAAAUGUAUACAAAAACCUUUCUGAACGUUUCCAAAAAGCUAAGACACAUCAAGCGAAUUGAAAACAACUGUCAUAUUUCUGAAUUAGUACAUGCAUUUCUUAUGCAGAAAAUGUUAGAUUAUAUUAUAUUUUUAUAGAAUUUGAUGCGACUGUCAUACAAGUGAGAGGAUUAGCUAGCUAUAAAAUCAUGCUCAAUCUACCAUACAAAUCUACAUAAGAACAUGCCUGUACCAAGUACGGAAUAUGACAAUUGUUAUCCAUUCGUGUGAUGUGUUUCAGGUUUUGAUUUUGCCUUUUGAUUAGAAACUUUCUGUUUUGAACUUUCCUCAAAGUUUAGUAAUUUUUGUGAUUUCACUUUUUAUAACUAGUUGAACUUCUCUCUUGUAUGACAUUAGUUUUACAUUCAGUUAUAUUGUCAACAAUGUGUGAGGAAAAUAAAUAUACAUAUUAGUUAAAACUGUAAAUAAUAGGGUUAAAACCAACUGACCAGGAAGACUCGGAAAUAUCCAUAUUAUACUUCCAAUUGUUAUAAACAUUACAAACAUUUUAUAAUGAAUAAUGAUUUUAACAGAAGAACCAUUUUUUUGUAUCCGAAUGAUUCGGCAAGUUUUAUAAUAUGUCUGUGUUAAAUUAAAAAAGUCGCCAUAAACAAGAUAAAGGGCAAUAACAAUAUGUGAUUUGUUAUUGAAUAACAUUUUAAAAAUAUUAUCCAGAAACAUAUCCUGAUAUAGAUCUUAUAUGAAAACAUAAUACAUUAUUUCAUAGUUGUUGUAUAUUGUUGUAUUUCUUACUUUCUUUCUAUCAUUGAUUUGUUUGACAUUUAAAAGUCAAUGUUUAACAUGUUUUAAACAUUCAUACAUAGAAUCAAGGUUGUUUUUGAAUCUUUUGAAAUCAUUCUAUUGUUAUGAUUAUGUCAUAAAGGUGUUUUUGAAAACAAUCCAAAGAAGCAUCAAUCAAAUGAUAAGAACACUCCAAAAAAGAGUAAAUUAUUGCCCUUUAUCAUUUUAAUGGUGACUAUUAGCUAUUAGACUGUAAACAUUAUGAAAACAUCAGUUUAUUUCAGGUCAGGUUGUGUUUCCAUGCACAUUUCCUUGUGACUGGAUUAAUAAAACACUUUGGCUGUUUAGUGAUUACGGACAUGGAACGCAACUACAUGCUCAUCUGUCUUUCAACGCUGAUGGAACGACGGGG